GGGUCAGUAGGUUGGUCGUGCCACCGGUACGUACUGGUCUCACUGAUUCCUCCUUCCUGAAGAACCGUAAUGCCAUUAAUUUGGUGUUGCGGGGAAACAGGACUGUUACUUUGAAAAAAUUAGAGUGUUUAGAGCAAGCUAACGCUUGAAUGCAUUAGCAUGGAAUAAUGAAAUAGGACGAUCGAUCCUAUUUUGUUGGUUUCUAGGAUUGACGUA
RNAcentral lists this ribosomal RNA (216 nucleotides) under Glomeromycotina sp. RNAcentral describes it as "partial small subunit ribosomal RNA". The stretch from base 40 to 216 matches the Rfam family "Eukaryotic small subunit ribosomal RNA", at positions 686 to 864 of the family's 1831-position model. The record is from RNAcentral. Lineage: Eukaryota; Fungi; Glomeromycota.